RNAcentral lists this small RNA (739 nucleotides) under Pongo abelii (Sumatran orangutan). Its description in RNAcentral is "processed transcript". The record is from RNAcentral. Lineage: Eukaryota; Metazoa; Chordata; Mammalia; Primates; Hominidae.
GAAAAUGCCGUCGGUUUCGAAAGCGGCGGCGGCGGCGCUGAGCGGGUCCCCCCCGCAGACGGAGAAGCCGACCCACUACAGGUACCUGAAGGAGUUCAGGACGGAGCAGUGCCCCCUGUUUUCACAGCACAAGUGCGCUCAGCACCGGCCGUUCACCUGCUUCCACUGGCACUUCCUCAACCAGCGGCGCCGCAGGCCCCUCCGCAGGCGCGACGGCACCUUCAACUACAGCCCCGACGUGUACUGCUCCAAGUACAACGAAGCCACCGGCGUGUGCCCCGACGGCGACGAGUGUCCCUACCUGCACCGGACGACGGGGGACACAGAACGCAAGUACCACCUGCGUUACUACAAGACAGGAACCUGCAUCCACGAGACAGACGCACGUGGCCACUGCGUGAAGAAUGGGCUGCACUGUGCCUUUGCACACGGCCCCCUGGACCUGCGGCCGCCCGUGUGUGACGUCAGGGAGCUGCAGGCCCAGGAAGCCUUGCAGAACGGCCAGCUGGGCGGCGGGGAAGGGGUCCCGGAUCUGCAGCCUGGGGUCUUGGCCAGCCAGGCCAUGAUUGAGAAGAUCCUGAGCGAGGACCCCCGGUGGCAAGUUUACGUGCAAGGUGAUCAGAUGGGGAAACUGAGGCUCGUGGAGUCCAAUACCAAGCCCUCCCCAACGGGGUGGGUGCUGAGUGGGAUUUGGGCCCAGGCGCCUUCCCCACACCUGCUCUGAAUCUCUGCGGCGACU